This 1351-nucleotide ribosomal RNA is filed under the name Eurychasma dicksonii. RNAcentral describes it as "eukaryotic LSU rRNA". The stretch from base 629 to 1351 matches the Rfam family "Eukaryotic large subunit ribosomal RNA", at positions 1 to 633 of the family's 3401-position model. Lineage: Eukaryota; Oomycota; Myzocytiopsidales; Eurychasmataceae. The record is from RNAcentral.
CCACACCAUUGGAUGCAUGUUUUNUUACAUUGCAUGUUAUCCUUUACUAUCCUGNGAAAUUGUUAUUUGNUUUUGNUGGUAUUGUAAGAUUUUUUAAAGUUUAAUUACCGUUCUAUUUUACAAUACUAUUUUUUUNANCCAAGUUUAAAAACUAAUCUUAAUAGAGGCAACUUUUUGUUGCCUUUUAAAUUUAAUGAGAAUACAACUUUCAGCAGUGGAUGUCUUGGCUUACACAUCGAUGAAGAACGCUGCGAACUGCGAUACGUAAUGCGAAUUGCAGGAUUCAGUGAGUCAUCAAAAUUUUGAACGCAUAUUGCGCUUUCGGGAAUACCUGGAAGUAUGCCUGUAUCAGUGUCUGUAAAACAAAACUUGUAUGUUUUAUAUGUAUAAUAUAUGUGUACAGAAUGUUGUGAUUUGGUUUAACUUUUUUUAAAAAGAAUAAGCUGUGUUAUUAAAUUAGAUUGGACUUUUGAAUACUAAAAUGAAAUACCUUCAUACUCAAUCAUUUGCCAACGUAGCAGUACAAUUUCUUGAAGUUAUACUAAUACAAGGCNUUUGACAAACGUUUGAAUYGAAUUCUUUUUACUACUUUUCAAAUAGUUUAUAAAGUGGAAAUUUUUUUNAUAUUGGACCUGAUAUCAGGUAAGAGUACCCACUGGAUUUAAGCAUAUAACUAAGUGGAGGAAAAGAAACUAACAAGGAUUCCCCUAGUAACGGCGAGUGAAGCGGGAAGAGCUCAAUCUUAAAAUCUCUAUAUUAAAUUGUAGUGAAUUGUAGUCUAUUGAAUUGGUUUUGCAAUGAACAUAUGGAAAAGUCCCUUGGAAGAGGGCAGCAUAGAGGGUGAUACUCCCGUCUUUGCCGUAUGAUUUAUUGUAUUAAUUCCUCUUUCAUUGAGUCGAGCUGCUUGGGAAUGCAGCUCAAAGCAGGUGGUAAAUUCCAUCUAAAGCUAAAUAUGUGUGUAAGACCGAUAGCGAAYAAGUACCGUGAGGGAAAGAUGAAAAGAACUUUGAAAAGAGAGUUAAACAGUACCUGAAACUGCUGAAAGGGAAUCGGAUUGUUGCCAGUGUGAUCCAAUACAUAUUUCAAUAGUGAGUAAUCGUUGUUGCCCUGUGUGUUGGUGUGAUGUUAGGGUCAAUUGAUUUUGCAAGAAAUUGGUAAGAGGGAGGUAGGUGAUAUUUUCGGAUAUGACUAUUAUAUUCUUUUGCUAGUGUUGUGAAUGAGAUUGAGGAAACAAUGUGCAAUUUAUUUACUUUUCAUCUUUUYUGACUUAUUUAUUUUACAGCUUGCUGUUAUUUAAGUAAYGUUUUGAGAAACUUGAUAUGUAGACAAUGCCAUUCGGGACCCCGACAAA